UGGGGAAUAUUGCACAAUGGGGGAAACCCUGAUGCAGCGACGCCGCGUGAACGAAGAAGGUAUUCGUAUCGUAGAGUUCUGUCCUAUGGGAAGAUAAUGACAGUACCAUAGAAGAAAGCUCCGGCUAAAUACGUGCCAGCGGCCGCGGUAAUACGUAUGGAGCGAGCGUUGUCCGGAAUUAUUGGGCGUAAAGGGUACGCAGGCGGUUUAAUAAGUCGAAUGUUAAAGAUCGGGGCUCAACCCCGUAAAGCAUUGGAAACUGAUAAACUUGAGUAGUGGAGAGGAAAGUGGAAUUCCUAGUGUAGUGGUGAAAUACGUAGAUAUUAGGAGGAAUACCAGUAGCGAAGGCGACUUUCUGGACACAAACUGACUCUGAGGUACGAAAGCGUGGGGAGCAAACAGG
This 403-nucleotide ribosomal RNA is filed under the name Actinomycetes bacterium. RNAcentral's name for it is "Actinobacteria bacterium partial 16S ribosomal RNA". It matches the Rfam family "Bacterial small subunit ribosomal RNA", at positions 355 to 776 of the family's 1533-position model. The record is from RNAcentral. Lineage: Bacteria; Bacillati; Actinomycetota; Actinomycetes.